This 461-nucleotide ribosomal RNA is filed under the name uncultured bacterium. RNAcentral's name for it is "partial 16S ribosomal RNA". It matches the Rfam family "Bacterial small subunit ribosomal RNA", at positions 338 to 795 of the family's 1533-position model. The record is from RNAcentral.
CCUACGGGAGGCUGCAGUGAGGAAUAUUGGUCAAUGGUCGCGAGCCUGAACCAGCCAAGUAGCGUGAAGGAUGACUGCCCUAAGUGCGUUAAACUUCUUUUGUGCGGGAGCAAUAAUGGUGACGCGUGGCCAGACGAGAGUACAGUACGAAGAAGCAUCGGGUAACUCCGGGCCAGCAGCGGCGGUAAUACGGGGGAUGCAAGCGUUAUCCGGAAUUAUGGGGUUUAAAGGGUGCGUAGGCGGUGAGGUAAGUCAGCGGUGAAAUGCCCCCGCUCAACGGGGUGAAGUGCCAUUGAUACUGCCUUGCUGGAAUGCGAAUGCCGUGGGAGGAAUGUGUGGUGUAGCGGUGAAAUGCAUAGAUAUCACACAGAACACCGAUUGCGAAGGCAUCUCACGAAUCCGCGAUUGACGCUGAUGCACGAAAGCGUGGGUAUCAAACAGGAUUAGAUACCCCGGUAGUC